CAUCAUGAUUUGGGCAUUGUAUUAACUUAUCAUUGAAAUAAUGCCAAACUUCAUACAAUGGUUCGCCAUUAAGUUGGCUAAAGUGUGUGAUUUUAUCCAUUAGUUG
This is a non-coding RNA of Capsicum annuum, 106 nucleotides long. NCBI's taxonomy places the organism in Eukaryota, Viridiplantae, Streptophyta, Magnoliopsida, Solanales, Solanaceae. The record is from Rfam.